Molecule: long non-coding RNA, 387 nt
Organism: Gopherus flavomarginatus (Mexican gopher tortoise)
Lineage: Eukaryota; Metazoa; Chordata; Testudines; Testudinidae
Exons: 2
Source: RefSeq, a predicted model, not a curated record
CUUGUGUGGCGGCUGACGUGAACGUGACGCAUAAACAGGGCGGAGCUAGUGAACCGUGUUUGUUCCUAGCCCGGUUUAAGCAGGCUUGAAUCGGGUGGCCCAGACGUACCCGCUGAGACACGGUGCAAGCUGCUUCCUCUGCCUUGGGUGUCCUGGGAGUGGGCAGCGCCCGGAGCAAAGCGUUCCUGACAGAAGGGGGUGGGGAGAGGAGCUGCAAAUGCGGUCUUGAGGGUCUCUCCAUCCACACCGGUGGAGUGGCUUAGCCAGGUGAGAAGGAAGCUGAAGAGGACAAGGAAAGAUAUGUCCCAGGAGAUCCUGCAAGCCUCUGGUGCUUUGGAUACCAAGCAGAGGGCGUGGAGGAUUACACUUGAGGACAGAAUGGACAGG